GAAAGUAAAGAAGGGCGCAUGGCGGAUGCCUUGGCUCUCGGAGGCGAUGAAGGACGUGAUAAGCUGCGAUAAGCUUUGGGGAGGUGCAAAUGACCUUUGAUCCAGAGAUUUCCGAAUGGGACAACCCAAUAUCUUGAAGAGGUAUUAUCCAACGUUGUUGGAGGCUAACGCAGGGAACUGAAACAUCUUAGUACCUGCAGGAAAAGAAAAUAAACAAUGAUUCCCCCAGUAGUGGCGAGCGAACGGGGAACAGCCCAAACCAUCCAUGUUACGGCAUGGGUGGGGUUGUAGGACUACGCCGUUGCAUGAAGACAUCAGAGAAGAACUUUCUGGAAAGAAAGACCAUAGAGCAUGACAGUUGCGUAUUCGAAUGUUGUCGAAGCAUAGUAGUAUCCUGAGUAGCGCGGAGCACGAGGAAUUCUGCGUGAAUCUGCCGGGACCAUCCGGUAAGGCUAAAUACUCCCGAGAGACCGAUAGCGAACCAGUACCGUGAGGGAAAGGUGAAAAGCACUUCGAACAGAAGAGUGAAAUAGUUCCUGAAACCGUGCGCCUACAAGCGGUCGGAGCUCGUUAAUGAGUGACGGCGUGCCUUUUGCAUAAUGAACCUACGAGUUGCCUUUGCCGGCAAGGUUAAGUGUGACGACACACGUAUCCGAAGCGAAAGCGAGUCUGAACAGGGCGUAUAGUCGGCAGUGGCAGACGCGAAACCAAGUGAUCUACCCUUGGCCAGGUUGAAGGCUGGGUAACACCAGCUGGAGGACCGCACCAAUAAGCGUUGAAAAGCUUCUGGAUGAGCUGAGGGUAGGGGUGAAAGGCUAAUCAAACUUGGAGAUAGCUCGUACUCCCCGAAAUGCAUUUAGGUGCAGCCUUGCGGGUUACUGAUGUGAGGUAGAGCGACUGAUAAGAUGCGAGGGCUUCACCGCCUAUCAAGUCUUGACAAACUCCGAAUGCGCAUCAGUUCUACCGCAGGAGUGAGGGCAUGGGUGCUAAGGUCCGUGCCCGAGAGGAGAAGAAUCCGGACCACCUGCUAAGGUCCCGAAAUGACAGCUAAGUUAAACUAACGAAGUCUGACUGCUAAGACAGCUAGGAUGUUGGCUUGGAAGCAGCCAUUCAUUUAAAGAGUGCGUAACAGCUCACUAGUCGAGGAGUCUGGCGUGGAUAAUACUCGGGCAUAAACUGUUUACCGAAGCUAUGGAUGUAGUAAUACAUGGUAGGGGAGCAUUCCAUGUGCGUCGAAGGUAAGGGAUAACCGUUGCUGGAGCGCAUGGAAAAGCAAAUGUAGGUAUAAGUAACGAUAAAGGGAGUGAGAAACUCCCUCGCCGAAAGACUAAGGUUUCCUGAUCAACGUUAAUCGGAUCAGGGUAAGUCGGGACCUAAGGAUAAGCCGAACGGCGAUUCCGAUGGAAGAAUGGUUUAAUAUUCCCAUACUACUUUAUGGAGCGAUGUGGAGACGGAGAAGUGACAGUCCUGCCAUCUGACGGAAUAGAUGGUUGAAGGGUGUAGGCGUCGAUUGGGGUAGGCAAAUCCGCCUCGAGAGCUGAACCUGACAGUAUGCCGAGUACUUGUACAAGGCAAUAUGGAUGUAAUCAGGCUCCCUAGAAAAUCCGCUAAGCAUAUUCAUAAAGUACCCGUACCGUAAACGGACACACGUAGUUGGGUUGAAAAUACUGAGGCGCUCGAGUGAUUCACGGUUAAGGAACUAGGCAAAUUGACCCUGUAACUUCGGGAUAAAGGGUCCCAGCUGUAAGGCUGGGCGCAGAGAAUAGGUCCAGGCAACUGUUUAACAAAAACACAUGGCUGUGCGAAAUAGAAAUAUGAAGUAUACAGCCUGACACCUGCCCGGUGCUGGAAGGUUAAGAGGAGAGCUUAUCGCAAGAGAAGGUUUGAAUUGAAGCCCCAGUAAACGGCGGCCGUAACUAUAACGGUCCUAAGGUAGCGAAAUUCCUUGUCGGGUAAGUUC
Molecule: ribosomal RNA, 1960 nt
Filed under: human gut metagenome
Description: bacterial LSU rRNA
Rfam family: Bacterial large subunit ribosomal RNA
Source: RNAcentral